GCCUGAUAUAAGGAGUCAGUGUUCUUAUACUCAGCCUGAUAUAAGGAGUCAGUGUUUUUAUACUCAGCCUGUUAUAAGGAGUCAGUGUUCUUAUACUCAGCCUGUUAUAAGGAGUCAGUGUUCUAAUACUGAGCCUGAUAUAAGGAAUCAGUGUUCUAAUACUGAGCCUUAUAUAAGGAAUGAGUGUUCUAAUACUGAGCCUGAUAUAAGGAGUCGGUGUUCUUAUACUCAGCCUGUUAUAAGGAGUCAGUGUUCAAAUACUCAGCCUCAUAUAAGGAGUCAGUGUUCUAAUACUGAGCCUGAUAUAAGGAGUCAGUGUUCUAAUACUGAGCCUGAUAUAAGGAGUCGGUGUUCUUAUACUCAGCCUCAUAUAAGGAGUCAGUGUUCUAAUACUCAGCCUCAUAUAAGGAGUCAGUGUUCUAAUACUGAGCCUUAUAUAAGGAGUCAGUGUUCUAAUACUGAGCCUCAUAUAAGGAGUCAGUGUUCUAAUACUCAGCCUCAUAUAAGGAGUCAGUGUUCUAAUACUCAGCCUCAUAUAAGGAGUCAGUGUUCUAAUACGGAGCCUCAUAUAAGGAGUCAGUGUUCUAAUACUCAGCCUCAUAUAAGGAGUCAGUGUUCUAAUACUGAGCCUUUAAUAAGGAAUAGGUGUUAGUACAAUUAGCCUGAUAUAAGGAGUCAAUGUUCUAAUACUGAGCCUGAUAUAAGGAGUCAGUGUUCUAAUUGUCAACCUGAUAUAAGGAGUCAGUUUUCUAAUGCUGAACCUGAUAUAAAGAUAAGUGUUCCCAUACUGAGCCUGAUAUAAGGAAUAAGUGUUCUGAUAUAUAGCCUUUUAUAAGAAAUCAGUUUUCUUAUACAGAACCAGAUAUACGGUAUCACUGUUCAUGUAAACACGUGUUGACAAGAAAAGUUAUUUAAUCGUCUUGUAAGGUUAUACUUGUCGGUGCUACUACUUAUCAAUAUUAUAUUGAGUAUUUGUUCAUUUUGUUUCAAACCGUCAACAACGCACACGAAUGAAUGGAAGUUGUCAUCACAUACCGGCCACAUACACCACACCGUACGUGCGGCUCGUGAUGAUUGGAUUUCUUUCGUGGAUACGAGGCAUCCCGGUGUUCUCUUAAUAUCAGGGCAUAGGCGAUUAUCUUCAGGAUACACAAAAUGCUGUCUGACGUCACAUUAACAGGUUUCGGGAUGCACAUCUGUAUGACGUUACAGGUUGUCGUUUCAAGGGUGACAACUCGUAUGGGCUCCACAAGCAAUAAAGAAAGUGUCAACUGUCCCUGAUUCUACCCACAUACAUCGCCAACCCGGCUGCACUAGAUAUUCUACUGGGUUACUGAGGGGUCUCCGAUCACGCACUCGGAGAUUUACGUAAGUUCACGAACACUGAGGUCCACACCGAGGCCAAACCGCUCCACCUUGAUGCUUUACUGACUGGUCAGAUCCUGUCAGUAGGACUCCAUCACAUGACAGACGGACGGAGUUUCCUGUAGAUAGCCCCACGAACUUCAGCUCAACAACCUUGAACAUACACUGAACAAAACUAUGUCAUACUAACCUACAUUUGAUUUCUUUUUAGAAAACGAUUGUCGAUUUCGUGGAAUUGAUGAUAUUAUCAAAAUGGCCCGCGUACCUAUAUAUAUCGAACGCUACACCGAGCGUGACCGCCGGGGCAUGCGGAUAAUAACUUUGGCUUUCAAGGUUUGUAAUGUUGCCAAAUCAUGUAUCUAGAUGUAUAGUUGUUUUUUUUAGACAUAACAGGGUAAAUCAAUAUACAUGCACGUGUCAAUAAAAUGUACCGUAGUGAGGCAAUCACAAGAAUGGUGUUGUAUAAUUGUAAUAAGUAUACGUACUAUGAAUAUCAAGUUAUAUCAAGAUAAAUAAAUGUGAUUAUUGAGUCGUAUAUUUACAAGGUCGGUCAUGUAGCUCGCUGACAAAGAUAUGUUGGUGUAGUACACAUAUGUAAACAUACAUGUUCACGUCUUUCAGACAUUUCAACGGGUUUAGAUCUCUUUGUUAACUAAAUCAGUAAUGCAAGGGCUAACGCCCAUGGAUUUAAACAAAUGACAAAUAGUUAAUGUCGCGAAUAUUAAAAUCAACAGUUUUAAAGGGGCUUGUUCUCUGAUUGCGUAUUCAAAAAAUAAUUA
Long non-coding RNA from Dreissena polymorpha, 2144 nucleotides. RefSeq lists it as uncharacterized. Lineage: Eukaryota; Metazoa; Mollusca; Bivalvia; Myida; Dreissenidae. The transcript is spliced from 3 exons. The record is from RefSeq and is a predicted model, not a curated record.